AAAAACAGUGUUUAGUGACAUAUGGAUGCUUGUGUCUCCUUUAACUAAUAUUAAAAGAAGCAUGCUGCAUUUUAAAGCUAGAAGGAAUCUUAGUGAUUGCCUUAUUCGAGCUCCCUGUCUUACAGAAAGGAAAAUAAGGUAAACGCAGGUAAAGAGGUCGCUGAAAGUCACAACAUUAAGUGGCCCCUAAAUUUCUGAGACUAUGAUGCAGAUCUCCUGACUCUUAAGGUUUUAAUUCUCAGGACCAGCGCAUGCUCCAUAACUUUCAACUAGACAUAAUGCCUUCUAAGAGUAAUUAGGAAAAUGCAAAUCAAGCGGAUGUUAGCCUAAGUAUCUAACUGACCACCUUACUCCCACAGUUAAAGAGCCAGCAACUUUGCUGAGAAGGGAACUUGCCUUAAGUUCUAUGCCCUGGUAUGUUCUCUUAGACAGCGUGGGCACAGAGGACCCUCAAGGGAGGAGAGGGUGCUGGAACGCCAAAAACUCAAAGGUCACAAAACUGAGAACACGUCACCAUGAUCCACAGCACAUACAAGUCAAGACACUCAUGAGANGGGGGGGGGGGGAGUGUGUGUGUGUGUGUGUGUGUGUGUGUGUGUGUGUGUGUGUAAUAUAUUCAUUUUCUUCAGCUCUCAACCUUAUCAAGGAAAAUGCUGGGCAAAGUAUAUAUACCACUAAAUUAUUAUUUAGCUACUACACAGUAUGUAGGAAUAUGCAAUCUUGGGUUCAUUUCAAAAACUUAGACUUGUAAAUGACUUAAACUGUAGCCCUUAACCUUGGACGAACAUUAAUCUGAGGAGCUUAUACAAAAAACUAAUGCCUGGACUCCAGCCCAGAUCAAUUACAUCAGAAUUUCGAAGACUGAGGUCUAGGCAUCAGUGCCAUUUCUGUCCCUAUUAUGCCAAAAUGCAUGUUACAUCACAUUCAAUGAAUGAAUCAACAAACAGAUGUUUCUGAAUACCUCCUUCAUAGGGGGCAAUAUGACAGGCGUUGAGAAUAUUAAAAAAAAAAAAAAAAAAAGACAGAAAAAUGAGAUGUGUUUCUCACCAUCAAGGAGGGGAGCUUUCUAAAAUUCUGGUUUCUUAUUUUCCACUGUAGACAUUUCCACUUUGGGGUUUUGUUUUUUGUUUUCCCAUGAUUAAUGGCAAAAUUCCAAUACCCCCCCAACCCCACUCCCGCUCACAUACAUACACAAAGGUCAGAGCCCCUCACUUGCCACAAGACGUAUUUCUCCAGACUGGCAUUGAUCCAUUAAUUAAAUUGUCAGUUCCUUUGUUCAAACAGGGGAAAAUCCAUUUAACCACAUUAUCAUCUAACCCACAUUAGCUUUAUGGUAUACUGCGUCCAUUAAGGUACCAUUCGAGGGUUUUAUAGAAGUGGUGCAGAUCUAAAUGUGCUAUACAAAUCAUCUUCUUCUGAGCACUGUUUUCACUUUACCAAAUUAUUAAGUGAUGUCCGUUGGGUGGACAUAGAAAGAGAGUACCUGAAUUGAUACGACACACAAUUGCUGGGUAGAGCCUCCAUACAAAGCUAUCUUUCCAUAUGAUUACCUUAAUGUACUGAUUCUCUUAAUAAGUAGCAAUUUUUCCCAUAAGUACAGAAUUUUUUAACAGACAUAAAAAUAUAAUACACCUUCACAUAAAGUAUUUCACUUAUAUUAAAUAUGGAAUUCCCAUUCUGGCUCAGUGGGUUACAAACCUGACUAGUAUCCAUGAAGAUGUGGGUUUGAUCCCUGGCCUUGCUCAGUGGGUUAAGGGUCCAGAGUUGCCAUGAGCUAUGGUAUAAAUAUCUCUACAGUGAGGCAAUUUGCAUGUUCUACCUGGUGGGGGGGGCACUGUAUUUUUACAAAUGUAUCUGUGA
RNAcentral lists this long non-coding RNA (1860 nucleotides) under Sus scrofa (pig). Its description in RNAcentral is "lncRNA (ENSSSCG00045023531.1)". Lineage: Eukaryota; Metazoa; Chordata; Mammalia; Artiodactyla; Suidae. The record is from RNAcentral.